UACGGGGGGGGCAAGCGUUGUUCGGAAUUAUUGGGCGUAAAGGGCGCGUAGGCGGUGCGGCAAGUCAUCUGUGAAAUCUCCCGGCUCAACUGGGAGUCUGCAGGCGAAACUGCCGUGCUGGAGUAUCGGAGAGGUGAGUGGAAUUCCCGGUGUAGCGGUGAGAUGCGUAGAUAUCGGGAGGAACACCUGUGGCGAAAGCGGCUCACUGGACGAUAACUGACGCUGAGGCGCGAAAGCUAGGGGAGCAAACAGG
This 253-nucleotide ribosomal RNA is filed under the name uncultured bacterium. RNAcentral's name for it is "partial 16S ribosomal RNA". It matches the Rfam family "Bacterial small subunit ribosomal RNA", at positions 524 to 776 of the family's 1533-position model. The record is from RNAcentral.